This 253-nucleotide ribosomal RNA is filed under the name uncultured bacterium. Its description in RNAcentral is "partial 16S ribosomal RNA". It matches the Rfam family "Bacterial small subunit ribosomal RNA", at positions 524 to 776 of the family's 1533-position model. The record is from RNAcentral.
UACGUAGGGUGCUAGCGUUGUCCGGAUUUAUUGGGUUUAAAGGGUGCGUAGGCGGUUUAUUAAGUCAGGGGUGAAAGACGGCAGCUUAACUGUCGCAGUGCCCUUGAUACUGAUGGGCUUGAAUGAACUAGAGGUAGGCGGAAUGUGACAAGUAGCGGUGAAAUGCAUAGAUAUGUCACAGAACACCAAUUGCGAAGGCAGCUUACUAUGGUUUUAUUGACACUGAGGCACGAAAGCGUGGGGAUCAAACAGG